GACGAACGCUGGCGGCGUGCUUAACACAUGCAAGUCGAACGGAAAGGCCCUGCUUUUGUGGGGUGCUCGAGUGGCGAACGGGUGAGUAACACGUGAGUAACCUGCCCUUGACUUUGGGAUAACUUCAGGAAACUGGGGCUAAUACCGGAUAGGAGCUCCUGCUGCAUGGUGGGGGUUGGAAAGUUUCGGCGGUUGGGGAUGGACUCGCGGCUUAUCAGCUUGUUGGUGGGGUAGUGGCUUACCAAGGCUUUGACGGGUAGCCGGCCUGAGAGGGUGACCGGCCACAUUGGGACUGUGAUACGGCCCAGACUCCUACGGGAGGCAGCAGUGGGGAAUAUUGCACAAUGGGCGGAAGCCUGAUGCAGCAACGCCGCGUGCGGGAUGACGGCCUUCGGGUUGUAAACCGCUUUCGCCUGUGACGAAGCGUGAGUGACGGUAAUGGGUAAAGAAGCACCGGCCAACUACGUG
This 468-nucleotide ribosomal RNA is filed under the name uncultured bacterium. Its description in RNAcentral is "partial 16S ribosomal RNA". It matches the Rfam family "Bacterial small subunit ribosomal RNA", at positions 28 to 507 of the family's 1533-position model. The record is from RNAcentral.